Molecule: ribosomal RNA, 284 nt
Filed under: Phocaeicola plebeius DSM 17135
Lineage: Bacteria; Pseudomonadati; Bacteroidota; Bacteroidia; Bacteroidales; Bacteroidaceae
Description: partial 16S ribosomal RNA
Rfam family: Bacterial small subunit ribosomal RNA
Source: RNAcentral
UCUUUUCCUUUUUUUCCAGCCGCCGCGGUAAUACGGAGGAUGCGAGCGUUAUCCGGAUUUAUUGGGUUUAAAGGGAGCGCAGACGGGUCGUUAAGUCAGCUGUGAAAGUUUGGGGCUCAACCUUAAAAUUGCAGUUGAUACUGGCGUCCUUGAGUGCGGUUGAGGUGUGCGGAAUUCGUGGUGUAGCGGUGAAAUGCUUAGAUAUCACGAAGAACUCCGAUUGCGAAGGCAGCACACUAAUCCGUAACUGACGUUCAUGCUCGAAAGUGUGGGUAUCAAACAGG